RNAcentral lists this ribosomal RNA (620 nucleotides) under Bacillus sp. I12B-00820. RNAcentral's name for it is "bacterial SSU rRNA". It matches the Rfam family "Bacterial small subunit ribosomal RNA", at positions 87 to 693 of the family's 1533-position model. Lineage: Bacteria; Bacillati; Bacillota; Bacilli; Caryophanales; Bacillaceae. The record is from RNAcentral.
UGAAGUUAGCGGCGGAGGGAGAGUAACACGUGGGUAACCUGCCCAUAAGACUGGGAUAACUCCGGGAAACCGGGGCUAAUACCGGAUAACAUUUUGAACCGCAUGGUUCGAAAUUGAAAGGCGGCUUCGGCUGUCACUUAUGGAUGGACCCGCGUCGCAUUAGCUAGUUGGUGAGGUAACGGCUCACCAAGGCAACGAUGCGUAGCCGACCUGAGAGGGUGAUCGGCCACACUGGGACUGAGACACGGCCCAGACUCCUACGGGAGGCAGCAGUAGGGAAUCUUCCGCAAUGGACGAAAGUCUGACGGAGCAACGCCGCGUGAGUGAUGAAGGCUUUCGGGUCGUAAAACUCUGUUGUUAGGGAAGAACAAGUGCUAGUUGAAUAAGCUGGCACCUUGACGGUACCUAACCAGAAAGCCACGGCUAACUACGUGCCAGCAGCCGCGGUAAUACGUAGGUGGCAAGCGUUAUCCGGAAUUAUUGGGCGUAAAGCGCGCGCAGGUGGUUUCUUAAGUCUGAUGUGAAAGCCCACGGCUCAACCGUGGAGGGUCAUUGGAAACUGGGAGACUUGAGUGCAGAAGAGGAAAGUGGAAUUCCAUGUGUAGCGGUGAAAUGCGUAG